Parelaphostrongylus tenuis is the source of this 71-nucleotide non-coding RNA. The record is from the annotation of a GenBank genome assembly. Lineage: Eukaryota; Metazoa; Nematoda; Chromadorea; Rhabditida; Metastrongylidae.
GCCUCGGUGGUGUAGUGGUGGCACGCGCCUCCGAUAAGGGUUAGGUGCGAGUUCAAAUCCCACCUGAGUCG